AACACAUGCAGUCGAGCGGCAGCGGGUCCUUCGGGAUGCCGGCGAGCGGCGGACGGGUGAGGAAUGCAUCGGAAUCUGCCCUGUCGUGGGGGAUAACGUAGGGAAACUUACGCUAAUACCGCAUACGACCUACGGGUGAAAGUGGGGGACCUUCGGGCCUCACGCGAUAGGAUGAGCCGAUGUCGGAUUAGCUAGUUGGUGGGGUAAAGGCCCACCAAGGCGACGAUCCGUAGCUGGUCUGAGAGGAUGAUCAGCCACACUGGGACUGAGACACGGCCCAGACUCCUACGGGAGGCAGCAGUGGGGAAUAUUGGACAAUGGGCGCAAGCCUGAUCCAGCCAUGCCGCGUGUGUGAAGAAGGCCUUCGGGUCGUAAAGCACUUUUGUUGGGGAAGAAAACUGCGUGGUUAAUACCCGAGCAGGCUGACGGUACCCAAAGAAUAAGCACCGGCUAACUUCGUGCCAGCAGCCGCGGUAAUACGAAGGGUGCAAGCGUUACUCGGAAUUACUGGGCGUAAAGCGUGCGUAGGCGGUUUGUUAAGUCAGAUGUGAAAUCCCCGGGCUCAACCUGGGAACUGCAUUUGAAACUGGCAGGCUAGAGUACGGUAGAGGGUGGUGGAAUUCCCGGUGUAGCGGUGAAAUGCGUA
RNAcentral lists this ribosomal RNA (646 nucleotides) under uncultured bacterium. RNAcentral describes it as "bacterial SSU rRNA". It matches the Rfam family "Bacterial small subunit ribosomal RNA", at positions 50 to 692 of the family's 1533-position model. The record is from RNAcentral.